Molecule: ribosomal RNA, 1235 nt
Filed under: metagenome
Description: bacterial LSU rRNA
Rfam family: Bacterial large subunit ribosomal RNA
Source: RNAcentral
UGAAUACGAGAUGCUACGGCAUCGAAGCAGUCUAUGUCAUACUUCCAAGAAAAGCUUGCACUGUCAUAAACAAAUAAUGCCUGUACCAUAACCGACACAGGUGGGUAGGUAGAGUAUACUAAGGGGCGCGAGAUAACUCUCUCUAAGGAACUCGGCAAAAUGACUCCGUAACUUCGGGAGAAGGAGUGCCUUAUUUUAUAAGGUUGCAAUAACAAGAUCCAAGCAACUGUUUACCAAAAACACAGGUCUCCGCUAAGUCGUAAGACGAUGUAUGGGGGCUGACGCCUGCCCAGUGCCAGAAGGUUAAAGAAGUUGGUUAGCAUUAGCGAAGCUGAUAACUGAAGCCCUGGUGAACGGCGGCCGUAACAAUAACGGUCCUAAGGUAGCGAAAUUCCUUGUCGGGUAAGUUCCGACCCGCACGAAAGGCGUAAUGAUUUGGAUACUGUCUCGGAGAGGGGCUCGGUGAAAUAGACUUGUCUGUGAAGAUGCGGACUACCUGCACCAGGACAGAAAGACCCUAUGAAGCUUUACUGUAACUUGAGAUUGAAAUUGGACUUUAUUUGCGCAGUAUAGGUGGGAGACGUUGAAAAUAUUCUUGCGGGAAUAUUGGAGUCAUCAGUGAGAUACCACUCUUAUAAUGUUAGAUUUCUAACUUUGUAUCAUUAUCUGGUCAAGGAACAGUCUCAGGCGGGCAGUUUGACUGGGGCGGUCGCCUCCCAAACGGUAACGGAGGCGCACAAAGGUUUCCUCUGAACGUGUAGAAAUCGUAUCUAGAGUGUAAAGGCAUAAGGAAGCUUGACUGUGAGACCUACAAGUCGAGCAGGGACGAAAGUCGGUCUUAGUGAUCUGACGGUGCUGAGUGGAAAGGCCGUCACUCAACGGAUAAAAGUUACUCUAGGAUAACAGGCUGAUCUCCCCCAAGAGUUCACAUCGACGGGGAGGUUUGGCACCUCGAUGUCGGCUCAUCGCAUCCUGGGGCGGUAGUACGUCCCAAGGGUUGGGCUGUUCGCCCAUGAAAGCGGUACGCGAGCUGGGUUCAGAACGUCGUGAGACAGUUCGGUCCAUAUCCGGUGUAGGCGUUAGAAUAUUGAGAGGAGCCUUCUUUAGUACGAGAGGACCGAGAAGGACAUACCUCUGGUGUACCAGUUAUCGUGCCAACGGUAAACGCUGGGUAGCUAUGUAUGGAGAGGAUAACCGCUGAAAGCAUCUAAGUGGGAAGCCCACCUCAAGAUAAG